UACGUAGGGAGCGAGCGUUGUCCGGAUUUAUUGGGCGUAAAGAGCGCGUAGGCGGCUUGGUAAGCCGGAUGUGAAACCCCCGAGCUCAACUCGGGGCGGCCAUUCGGAACUGCCAUGGCUAGAGUCUGGUAGGGGAACACGGAAUUCCUGGUGUAGCGGUGAAAUGCUUAGAUAUCAGGAGGAACACCAGUGGCGAAGGCGGUGUUCUGGGCAGAAACUGACGCUGAGGAGCGAAAGCGUGGGGAGCGAACAGG
Molecule: ribosomal RNA, 254 nt
Filed under: uncultured bacterium
Lineage: Bacteria
Description: partial 16S ribosomal RNA
Rfam family: Bacterial small subunit ribosomal RNA
Source: RNAcentral